This 325-nucleotide unclassified non-coding RNA is filed under the name Paenibacillus naphthalenovorans. RNAcentral describes it as "Long range pseudoknot". Lineage: Bacteria; Bacillati; Bacillota; Bacilli; Caryophanales; Paenibacillaceae. The record is from RNAcentral.
AUUGACGAGCACGACUUUCAAACGAAGCUUCGCAAUGUAUCGAAAUUUCUCAACGACGGCGAUAAAGUAAAGUUGUCGGUUCGUUUCCGCGGCCGGGAGAUCGCACAUGCCGAAAUCGGGCAGCGCGUUCUGGAGCGGAUGGCCGCCGAGGUGGAGGAUCUGUGCGUUGUGGAGCGCAGGCCGAAGCUGGAAGGCCGGAGUAUGAUCAUGAUCUUGUCGCCGAAGCAACAGCAAUAAUUUUACUCUUUAAGGAGGAACACCCCAUGCCAAAAAUGAAAACACACAGCAGCCUGAAAGGCCGUUUUAAAAUUACAGGUACCGGUAA